RNAcentral lists this ribosomal RNA (134 nucleotides) under uncultured marine bacterium. RNAcentral's name for it is "partial 16S ribosomal RNA". It matches the Rfam family "Bacterial small subunit ribosomal RNA", at positions 356 to 507 of the family's 1533-position model. The record is from RNAcentral.
UGGGGAUAUUGGACAAUGGGCGAAAGCCUGAUCCAGCAAUGCCGCGUGAGUGAUGAAGGCCUUAGGGUUGUAAAGCUCUUUUACCCGGGAUGAUAAUGACAGUACCGGGAGAAUAAGCCCCGGCUAACUCCGUG